This 271-nucleotide long non-coding RNA is filed under the name Lathyrus oleraceus (garden pea). RNAcentral's name for it is "Pisum sativum (pea) long non-coding RNA (PSAT_LNC042374)". Lineage: Eukaryota; Viridiplantae; Streptophyta; Magnoliopsida; Fabales; Fabaceae. The record is from RNAcentral.
GCUUUUUAGGUUGUAAUGGGGCUUAGGUGCAAUAUGGGGAAAACAAACAAAAGGGGGAAACUAGUGAUUUAGGCUCAGAGUCCGUGUUGUCAUCCUCAUCACAGUGUUCAAUCGUUUAACUAGAAGGUUUCUUUGGACACCAUUCUUGUUAGGAUUCAUUGGCUCUUAUUUUUCUCUUCUUUUUUUUUUCAUGCGUUCCUUUGAGCAUGCUUUUUGCCAACCUCAAACUUUCUAGAUAAGUGCUUUAUUUUACUUCUCAACUUUUUCAUUC